GCACAUCUAGUUCAAUUGGUAGAGUGCAAGGCUUUUAACCUUGUGGUCAUGGGUUUAAGCCCCACGAUGGAUA
RNAcentral lists this transfer RNA (73 nucleotides) under Zea mays. It matches the Rfam family "tRNA". Rfam says of the family: Transfer RNA (tRNA) molecules are approximately 80 nucleotides in length. Their secondary structure includes four short double-helical elements and three loops (D, anti-codon, and T loops). The record is from Rfam by way of RNAcentral. Lineage: Eukaryota; Viridiplantae; Streptophyta; Magnoliopsida; Poales; Poaceae.